AAAGAUAAUAUUAUAACUAAUAUUAAUAUAUCAAUUUAUUCUUAAUCCCAAAAGAAUAAUAUAUCAAAAUUAUACAAUCCCAAAAGAACAAGAUGACCAAGAUGUCCUAACACAAAAACAUCUAUAUCUUCUAACAUCAUCACGUGGCCAAAACUCAAAAUAUAUUUACAGUCGCUGGGUUGGUCUGGUGUACCUGCAACCUCCUGGUGAGGGGGGAAAAAUAUAAUAGAAAUGGGGUGAGUUUUAAACUCACUGAGAUCAGUGAGUGGAUAAUAGUUUUGAAAAUUAAUUCUUACUUUAAAAGAAAUAAUCAUAUCAUUUCCAAACACGAUUUCAUUAAACCGUAAGCGAAAAACCAGUAACAAAUCAUUAAACAUUGAAAUCAAAUUACUAACCAUGGACAUCAUAUCACAAUAUCAUAUAGAAUUCACAAAUCUGAAAAUCAUCACCAAACAAGUACUCAGGGAAAUAAUCUCGUCAUAUCCGGACCUCAACGGACAGGCAAUGACGUACUAUCUGGGUACCGCCACGCCCCGGAGCUACACGGAUAGACAGAGAAAUACCAUCUCAUAUCUCAUCAUAUCUGUGCAUGCAUAAUCUAGUCCCCAAAGGACAAAAGCGCCCAAGCACACGGCCCAAAGCCUCUGUGUGUACUCAGAUGGGCCCCAAAGGCCUGUAUCUCAUCUGUAUCAUCUGUAUCAUUUGUAUCUCAAUAUCUCUCUGUAUCUCAUAUCUGUAUCUCUGUAAUCAUCAUACCGCAUGCAUAUGCCUCCAAAAGGCAAAAACGCCCAAACACACGGCCCAAAGCCUCUAUGUGUGUUUAGACGGGCCCCAAAGGCCUCUCAUCUCAUUUGUAUCACAUGUAUCUGGAGGGAAGGGUAUUGUCUAAUGAUUUCAAAAACAAUCAUUAUACUCAUAUUCACAUACCUCUUAACCAUAUGUUUAAAUCAUACCACAUUUGAAUCCACUUUUCUUAUCUUUAAAAUACUAUCAUGCUCAUUCAAAGUCAAUACGCAAAAUCAUUAAUCAAACAUUUUAAUAAAAUACCAAUGCGUGAAUAAAAUCUAGUUCGAGGAAAUCAUUAAAUCAGAACAUUUAAAAUACUUAUUUUGCAAACAUGUUUUACUAUCAUAAUUAACUAUGAAAAUAGGUUUUGUAUAUUCCACUCACAGUGACAGUGUUCACGGUCGGUUAUCGUCCACGUCCGCGGACUGGUUCUCGCUCGCGGAUCCUCCUAAAAUAAGGAAACGACAUAAUUAUUUUCCGUAAAUCGGAAUUAUGACUAAAUUUUAUGCAAUAAACUCGAACCGAAUAUCUAUCCAUAAUUGACAACUCCCGUAUCUAUAAAAUUACUAAAAUGCCCUUGAGUCAGUAGAUCAUUAACAUGCUCCGAAAUCGUAAAUCACUGAAUUACCCUCGAAAUCGUAAUUACACCCAAUCCUCAAUUCUAGGAAUUACUAACAUAUCCACAGGCUCAGAAAUUACAAAAUUGCCCUCAUAGUGUGAAAUUACCAAAAUGCCCUUGCCGGUCAACGGUCACCGGAAUUUGGUCAACGCUGGCUAGGAAGCUCAAAUCUGAAAGUUCCAAUCAUGUUGAGUUCAAUGGUACCGGCGGUGAGCUCCAACACGUGGCAACGACGCCGAAAUCUAGCUCGGCAGCCGUGAAUUCCAACAAUCGACCUGCGGCAACACAGUGACUCUCGGUGCCUAUGGAUGGUCGGAAAUGGAAGAGGGAGUCAUGAGGAGCAAAAUCCAAUCGGUGGUGUCACUCAAAACCGGCGAAAAUCCCGGCGAAGCAAAGUGAAAUAGUCGCGGGUUUCAAGCUUCGAUCGCCGGCGUUUCGGUUGGUUUUCGGCGGCGAGGAUGGCAGGGGAACAACGGUCGGCUUCUAAGCUUCAGAUUGGUACCAAGCUCGGCCGAAACGGUGGCCGGAAAUGGGAGUUAUGGCCGGGUCAAGGACGCGGGUUCCGGGUCGGGUUUCCGGGUCGGGUUGACGGCUUCUCUCUCUCACUCUCUCACUCUCUCACACACGUGUGGCUUCUGUUUUUUUGCUCUGUUUUUUCUAGCU
RNAcentral lists this long non-coding RNA (2068 nucleotides) under Citrus maxima (pomelo). Its description in RNAcentral is "long non-coding RNA (CMAX_LNC001416)". The record is from RNAcentral. Lineage: Eukaryota; Viridiplantae; Streptophyta; Magnoliopsida; Sapindales; Rutaceae.